This 253-nucleotide ribosomal RNA is filed under the name uncultured bacterium. Its description in RNAcentral is "partial 16S ribosomal RNA". It matches the Rfam family "Bacterial small subunit ribosomal RNA", at positions 524 to 776 of the family's 1533-position model. The record is from RNAcentral.
UACGAACUGUGCAAACGUUAUUCGGAAUCACUGGGCUUAAAGGGUGCGUAGGCGGCUCGCUAGGUAGGGUGUGAAAGCCCCCGGCUCAACCGGGGAAUUGCGCCCUAAACCGGCGGGCUGGAGUGAGAUAGGGGUGUGUGGAACUUCCGGUGGAGCGGUGAAAUGUGUUGAUAUCGGAAGGAACGCCGGUGGCGAAAGCGACACACUGGGUCUCAACUGACGCUGAGGCACGAAAGCCAGGGGAGCAAACGGG